GACGAACGCUGGCGGCGUGCCUAAUACAUGCAAGUCGAACGCAGUGGGGACGGUGGCGUAACACGUGGGUAACCUCCCAUCAGAGGGGAGAACACUUGGAAACAGGUGCUAAACCGCUACUGAUGUAGGGACCCGGGGUGCAUUGGCUAGUUGGUGGGGUAACGGCUCACCAAGGCUACGAUGCAUACCCGACCUGAGAGGGUGAUCGGCCACACUGGAACUGAGAAACGGCCCAGACUCCUACGGGAGGCAGCAGUAGGGAAUCUUCGGCAAUGGACGAAAGUCUGACCGAGCAACGCCGCGUGAGUGAAGAAGGUUUUCGGAUCGUAAAGCUCUGUUGUUAGAGAAGCGGUAUCUGACCAGAAAGUCACGGCUAACUACGUGCCAGCAGCCGCGGUAAUUC
RNAcentral lists this ribosomal RNA (403 nucleotides) under uncultured bacterium. RNAcentral describes it as "partial 16S ribosomal RNA". It matches the Rfam family "Bacterial small subunit ribosomal RNA", at positions 28 to 526 of the family's 1533-position model. The record is from RNAcentral.